This is an RNA transcript of Mugil cephalus (flathead mullet), 2281 nucleotides long. It is a transcript of the gene named lamin-A-like, with no coding region annotated. NCBI's taxonomy places the organism in Eukaryota, Metazoa, Chordata, Actinopteri, Mugiliformes, Mugilidae. The record is from RefSeq and is a predicted model, not a curated record. The transcript has 8 exons.
GCUUUUAGGAGAAACUAAAGAUCUGACAGAGAAAUAUGAGAAGAUUGAAGAAGAGCUGCAGAAAACCAAAGAAGAACUGAAGAACAAGACUGAAGAGAUGGAGAAACAUGUAGAGACACACACAUAAACACUGUAAUCACCACAACUGUGAUUUUGCUCCAUCUACUGGUGAAAUGAUAUAACUGCAGGUUUUCUCCUACAUGCUACAUUUUCAAAUCAACACCUCCGUGAUUGAAAAGGAAGUAGAACAUUUUUGUCAUAUUUUUCUGCUCUCUACUUGAACAAAUAACAGAGAGGAUGGCCUGAUGUCACAUUCAGUUGAUUUUCAAUAGCCUGCCACAACAACACUUUGAUUAUAACAACAACAGCUGUUGGUGAAUUCAAUAUUUUCACACAAUAGUCAGGGGAACUUGGUGUUUAAACAUGAUAUAAUUUGAACAUAGUAUCUAAAAUUCUUACAAAGAUAAGAUUUGAUCAGAGACAAAAACCUUCACAUAUUUGACUCUAAUCUCAGAGAGACUGAGUUCUCUGUUAUUAAUGAACUACUAGUGGAGUUUGACAAACACAACUUUGCUCCAUCUACAGGUGAAAUUAUAGAACUACAGGAAUAAGCAGCAUUUAAAAUUCACACAGUAGAUACUAGAGAAUAUUUUCUGGACAAGUUAAAGUCUGACUGUUAAAAAUCUGGAUUUCACCUCCUUUUUAAUCAGGUCAAUGAACUAAAAGAGGAGAAGAAGAAACUGCAGGAGGAGAUGGAGACCAGAAACAAAGAGAUGGAGACCAGAAACAAAGAGCUGGAGGAGAUAAAAGAUGAGCUGACAGAGAAAUAUGAGAAGAUUGAAGAAGAGCUGCAGAAAACCAAAGAAGAACUGAAGAACAAGACUGAAGAGAUGGAGAAACAUGUAGAGACACACACAUGAACACUAUCAUUGUGUUAUUGAGGACUGACCUCUGAUCAACACAACUGUGACUUUGCUCCAUCUGCUGGUGAAAUGAUGCAACUGCAGGUUUUCUCCUCUCAGGUCAUUGAACUAAAGGAGGAGAAGAAGAAGCUGCAGGAGGAGCUUGAGACCAGAAACAAAGAGCUGGAGACCAGAAACAAAGAGAUGGAGGAGAUAAAAGAUGAGGUGAAGAACAAGCUCAUAGACAUGGAGAGAGAAGUAGUUUAUUCCAGAAAUAAAUUUUUAUAUGAAUUCAUCCUUCAGGUUAAAAGUCAUAUGUGUUGUUUAGUCUGACAUGAAGAAACAGAAUCAGUGAUGAUAAAAUCUUUGUAUUUGGCUUUAAUAAAUUCUUCCAGUUGGAGAAAAACAAACCUGCUGCUUCCAAGUCUAUCAGGUUUCCUUUGGUAAGUGAUCACAUUAUAAGAACUAUGAUACAAUCUGUUUGUCCAUCAUUUAUAAUCUUUACUGAUCUCUCUUCAUUCUUCUCAGUCGUCUAGAUUCAAGAAGAAGAAGGAGGAGCCCAAAGAAGAGAAGAAGAACGAUGAGUUAAUGAAGCAGAUCAACCAAGAAGAGGAACAACAACAAGAAAAAACUCAAAAUGUCAAAGACCAGCUGGAAACCAACAACACAGAGUCAGAGAGAAUCAAACCUGAACAAACACAGAACAGCAGCAGCUCAGACAGUCAGGAGACGUUAAAAGACAUCGAUGUGGUGGUUAAUGACAAGGACUACUAUAUCUUUCUGAGAAACAUCUCUGAUCAGGACAAACCACUGGGAGGACGUCAGUUAAAAGUCCAGAUCAACAAUAGUGAACCCAUCACAUACACAUUUGAUCCAUCAAUGAAACUCAAGGCCGGAGAGGAAGUUUAUUUAUACGGUCCAGGCUAUGACGAGAGUUUUGCUGGCCCUGGUGACCUGGUGUGGAAGGACCUGAAGUCCUGGAAGUCUGGAGACAGAGUCCAGGUCUCUCUGCAGUGAAAUAGUUCCCAGUUGAACUCCUUCAAUAAAGUUCAGUAAUCCAGCAAACAGCAACAUUAUAGAUGAGAAACAGCACGAAUCAGAUCUUCCAGUAGGAACCACACACUGCAGAGAAAGUCUGUGGAAACACUUGGCUCGAUUUUAUUGGAUUAGUCAAGUUUGAUGUGAACGUUGGUUUGUUUAAAGACUUUUACAGGAUGAUGUCAGUGUUUUAUGUUGUUAAAAUCUGACAGAUUGAUUGUAAAUGUUAAUAUAAUAAUGAGAUUUAUGAUAAUUUAUGAAACACAUGCUGAUGUUAAUUUUGACAUUAAGCUUGAAAAGCUUAGAUGUGAUUACAGUUUAAAAAAUAAAGAAUAAUAAAA